Pogona vitticeps (central bearded dragon) is the source of this 172-nucleotide small nuclear RNA. Its record names the gene U1. It matches the Rfam family "U1 spliceosomal RNA". From Rfam's summary of the family: U1 is a small nuclear RNA (snRNA) component of the spliceosome (involved in pre-mRNA splicing). Lineage: Eukaryota; Metazoa; Chordata; Lepidosauria; Squamata; Agamidae. The record is from Ensembl.
ACUCAAACCUGGCAGGGGAGAUACCAUUGUUGUAAAAGUGGUUUUCCCAGGGUAAGGCUCAUCUAUUGCACUUUGGAUGAGCUGACCCCUGUGAUUUCCCCAAACACAGGGAAAUCAACUGCUUAAGUGGGGGGCUGUGUUUCUGGUUUAUCUAGAAUCAUUCUUUCCCCUU